Molecule: non-coding RNA, 88 nt
Organism: Leminorella grimontii
Lineage: Bacteria; Pseudomonadati; Pseudomonadota; Gammaproteobacteria; Enterobacterales; Budviciaceae
Source: Rfam
AUCUAUGGUGAGCUGGGCGAAGGCACCAUAAGGUGCGCCGGUUCCCUGUGACGCCGGUAAGGCUAACUUCGUUCAGUUCACCACCCGU